CGUUGUUGCUGGAUUAGUGGCCGGCACAACAUAUCUCUCUAUUGGAGGCUCUAUGUCACUAACUACAGCUGAAAAAGCGCAAAUCUUAGCAGAUUUCGCUGUUAAACAA
Molecule: non-coding RNA, 109 nt
Organism: Rheinheimera sp. A13L
Lineage: Bacteria; Pseudomonadati; Pseudomonadota; Gammaproteobacteria; Chromatiales; Chromatiaceae
Source: Rfam